This 73-nucleotide transfer RNA is filed under the name Neotoma lepida (desert woodrat). It matches the Rfam family "tRNA". Rfam says of the family: Transfer RNA (tRNA) molecules are approximately 80 nucleotides in length. Lineage: Eukaryota; Metazoa; Chordata; Mammalia; Rodentia; Cricetidae. The record is from Rfam by way of RNAcentral.
GGAGAGAUGGCUCAGUGGUUAAGAGCACUGGUUGCUUUUCCAGAGGACCCAGGUUCAAUUCCUAGCACCACCA